RNAcentral lists this ribosomal RNA (345 nucleotides) under Colophon stokoei. Its description in RNAcentral is "partial 16S ribosomal RNA". The record is from RNAcentral. Lineage: Eukaryota; Metazoa; Arthropoda; Insecta; Coleoptera; Lucanidae.
AUGGCCGCGGUAUUUUGACCGUGCAAAGGUAGCAUAAUCAUUAGUUUUUUAAUUGAAAGCUGGAAUGAAUGGUUGGACAAGAAAAUUUCUGUCUCUGUUUAAUUUUUUAGAAUUUUAUUUUUUAGUCAGAAAGCUUAAAUUUUUUUAAGGGACGAGAAGACCCUAUAGAAUUUUACUUAUAAAGUGGUUUUUAAUUUUUGGAAUUAUUUUUUUGAAAUUUAUUUUAUAUGUUUUGUUGGGGUGAUAGAAAAAUUUAAAUAACUUUUUUUUGUUUAAGUCAUUGAUUAAUGAAUAAUUGAUCCAUUUGUUUUGAUUAUAAGAUUAAAUUACCUUAGGGAUAACAGC